Vicia villosa (hairy vetch) is the source of this 521-nucleotide long non-coding RNA. RefSeq lists it as uncharacterized. NCBI's taxonomy places the organism in Eukaryota, Viridiplantae, Streptophyta, Magnoliopsida, Fabales, Fabaceae. The transcript has 2 exons. The record is from RefSeq and is a predicted model, not a curated record.
GGACGAUGGUAUCUAAUUCAGACAAUAAUGAAAUGCAUAAACGAUAAUCUUCUCAUUUUAAUAUCGUCUUUGAAGAUAAACUCAACCAAAUGCAUUUCUAUGUCUUCUUCUUCUAUAAAAUCUCGAGCUGAAAAUUUAUGUGGGUGUGAUGGUCGUAUGGUUUCGUACCGAUGCAAGAAGUGACCAAAUAAAGAAAGGCUUAUUUGGAGAUGUCCCUUUUGGAGGAGUGGUGAGACAUGUGAUUUGUUCAUAUGAGAUGAAGACAUGAGAACAAAAGGUGGAAUAAAUAUGAGACUAUUAUAAACUCAGAGUUGGGAGCUAUGGAAGCAAUGAGCUAUUUGAAGGUUAUCCAUGAAGAUUCAAAGAAGAAGAACAAGAAUUUGAAGAACAAACUUAAAUCAAAGAAACUUUUGAGAAAUUUGAAAAUGUUAUGUUUUUAAUCUCCUUUAUGCUUAAUAUUUAUUUUGUUAUGAAAUGUAAUUGUUGAAGUAGAUAAUGAACUACAUUGUUUGUUAAUGAAA